This 465-nucleotide ribosomal RNA is filed under the name Tepidimonas taiwanensis. Its description in RNAcentral is "bacterial SSU rRNA". It matches the Rfam family "Bacterial small subunit ribosomal RNA", at positions 54 to 514 of the family's 1533-position model. The record is from RNAcentral. Lineage: Bacteria; Pseudomonadati; Pseudomonadota; Betaproteobacteria; Burkholderiales.
CAUGCAGUCGAACGGUAACAGGCCUUCGGGUGCUGACGAGUGGCGAACGGGUGAGUAAAGCAUCGGAACGUACCCAGAGGUGGGGGAUAACGCAGCGAAAGCUGUGCUAAUACCGCAUGUGAUCUGAGGAUGAAAGCGGGGGACCUUCGGGCCUCGCGCCUUUGGAGCGGCCGAUGUCGGAUUAGCUAGUUGGUGGGGUAAAGGCCUACCAAGGCGACGAUCCGUAGCUGGUCUGAGAGGACGACCAGCCACACUGGGACUGAGACACGGCCCAGACUCCUACGGGAGGCAGCAGUGGGGAAUUUUGGACAAUGGGCGCAAGCCUGAUCCAGCAAUGCCGCGUGCGGGAAGAAGGCCUUCGGGUUGUAAACCGCUUUUGGCAGGAACGAAAAAGCUCUGGGCGAAUACCCCUGGGGUGAUGACGGUACCUGCAGAAAUAAGCACCGGCUAACUACGUGCCAGCAG